This 696-nucleotide ribosomal RNA is filed under the name uncultured bacterium. RNAcentral describes it as "bacterial SSU rRNA". It matches the Rfam family "Bacterial small subunit ribosomal RNA", at positions 32 to 715 of the family's 1533-position model. The record is from RNAcentral.
AACGCUAGCUACAGGCUUAACACAUGCAAGUCGAGGGGAAACGAUAUUGGAAGCUUGCUUCCGAUAGGCGUCGACCGGCGCACGGGUGAGUAACGCGUAUCCAACCUGCCCACCACUUGGGGAUAACCUUGCGAAAGUAAGACUAAUACCCAAUGACGUCUCUAGAAGACAUCUGAAAGGGAUUAAAGAUUUAUCGGUGAUGGAUGGGGAUGCGUCUGAUUAGCUUGUUGGCGGGGUAACGGCCCACCAAGGCGACGAUCAGUAGGGGUUCUGAGAGGAAGGUCCCCCACAUUGGAACUGAGACACGGUCCAAACUCCUACGGGAGGCAGCAGUGAGGAAUAUUGGUCAAUGGGCGAGAGCCUGAACCAGCCAAGUAGCGUGCAGGAAGACGGCCCUAUGGGUUGUAAACUGCUUUUAUAAGGGAAUAAAGUUAGCCACGUGUGGCUAUUUGUAGGUACUGUAUGAAUAAGGACCGGCUAAUUCCGUGCCAGCAGCCGCGGUAAUACGGAAGGUCCAGGCGUUAUCCGGAUUUAUUGGGUUUAAAGGGAGCGUAGGCCGUCUGUUAAGCGUGUUGUGAAAUGUAGAUGCUCAACAUCUGAAUUGCAGCGCGAACUGGCAGACUUGAGUGUGCGCAACGUAGGCGGAAUUCGUGGUGUAGCGGUGAAAUGCUUAGAUAUCACGAAGAACUCCGAUUG